GACGAACGCUGGCGGCGUGCUUGACACAUGCAAGUCGAACGGGCCUGUCUUCUUUUUUGGGGGUGGGUUGAGUGGCGAACGGGUGAGUAUCACGUGAGUAACCUGCCCUUCGGUCCUGGAUAACCGCUUGAAAGGGCGGCUAAUACGGGGUGGUCCGGUUGGUCCGCAUGGGCUGGUCGGGAUAGAUUCACUGUUUUUGGUGUUUCGGCGGGGGAUGGGCUCGCGGCCUAUCAGCUUGUUGGUGGGGUGAUGGCCUACCAAGGCGGUGACGGGUAGCCGGCCUGAGAGGGUGGGCGGCCACACUGGGACUGAGAUACGGCCCAGACUCCUGCGGGAGGCAGCAGUGGGGGGUAUUGCACAAUGGGCGGAAGCCUGAUGCAGCGACGUCGCGUGAGGGAUGGAGGCCUUCGGGUUGUGAACCUCUGUUUCCGGUGGUGAAGGCCCUGUCCGUGUGGUGGGGUUGACGGUAGCCGGGGAUGAAGCGCCGGCUAACUACGUG
RNAcentral lists this ribosomal RNA (499 nucleotides) under uncultured bacterium. RNAcentral's name for it is "partial 16S ribosomal RNA". It matches the Rfam family "Bacterial small subunit ribosomal RNA", at positions 28 to 507 of the family's 1533-position model. The record is from RNAcentral.